Molecule: ribosomal RNA, 256 nt
Filed under: uncultured bacterium
Lineage: Bacteria
Description: partial 16S ribosomal RNA
Rfam family: Bacterial small subunit ribosomal RNA
Source: RNAcentral
AGCUGUCGCUAUGGGAUGGCCCCGCGGUGCAUUAGCUAGUUGGUAAGGUAACNGGCUUACCAAGGCGAUGAUGCAUAGCCGAGNUUGAGAGACUGAUCGGCCACAUUGGGACUGAGACACGGCCCAAACUCCUACGGGAGGCAGCAGUAGGGAAUCUUCCACAAUGGACGCAAGUCUGAUGGAGCAACGCCGCGUGAGUGAAGAAGGUUUUCGGAUCGUAAAGCUCUGUUGUUGGUGAAGAAGGAUAGAGGUAGUA